Long non-coding RNA from Felis catus (domestic cat), 1750 nucleotides. RefSeq lists it as uncharacterized. The transcript is spliced from 7 exons. NCBI's taxonomy places the organism in Eukaryota, Metazoa, Chordata, Mammalia, Carnivora, Felidae. The record is from RefSeq and is a predicted model, not a curated record.
AUGUUCAAAUCCAGGUAAAUAUGUUCCCAAAGUCACUAAGCUAAACCUCUUCUUUCUGAAUUAGUCCUGACCUGAACAGGACAAGAGAAUAGAGAAAUACCCAAUAAAAUUUAACUCUCACACUGUGAAAGACUAUUUCAAACCUUUUCUGGUGCAACUAAGUAAGUUUUUUGGCCCAAGAAUUAAUUGACUAGGACUUCAGAGGUAAGUCAAAAGGCCUUUGGAAAAAGAAAGGUGGAUCCAAAACAGCAGAGGAAGUGCAGAGAAACAAGGGAGGAUAAGAGGCAACAAUGGGUUCUCAGAUGCACCCUCACCGACAACUUUGGAAAUGUCAAAGGUAAACAAUGAGACAGGAAGUUGGAGAGGAAAACGGCCAGGGAAAGUUCAGCCCUGUAUCCCUUCCACGCCCUCACUGCCCAUUAUGACUCUCACUGAGUCAGCCCAGAUGGGAGGAAAGCAGAGACCUCACUCACCCAAUGUCCAGCCUCUCCAUGGCCUGGAACUAGUGGAGGAUGAAGCUUGUGAGUGCAGCUCAGACACACCCAUGGUACCCCCUGUCCCACUGCACAUCCAUACCCAGAGAUUUCAAUCAGAGCCCCGGAGUACAGAGAGCACCGCCCAGGGGCCUGGGUUCUGAGGAGGUUUGGAGCGGUGAAGGAGAAAUUCGCCAAAGGCUCUAAAAUAAUUAAGUAGGCAGCAAAGAGUGGAACCCCAUCUAAUUCCAGAGUUCAAGCUUAGUGACUACAAAGUAUUGCCCAUCUUAUUCGUGAAUGCUAAAAGAAAAAAAAAAAAACACCUGAAAGAUGACAAUUCAUUUCAAAGCCUACCGUAACAGGUUAGGCCCUUUAAUGCCUGAUACUUGCUAAAGUUCGACAGAGAGCAGAGGCUAUUUUCUGAGCAGCUUGUACAAAGUCAACUCCAAGGACAUGCUAAUCAAAAUGGGGCAUAAGCACAUGAUAUCCAUAUCAGUCAGAAGUUAAACAACAGAAUGGGCCAAAUUUAAGCCUCUGGCACAUGCUGGGAUGUAACAAGCCUCCUGUUCCAAUAAGUAGAGGCUACCAGAGAUUACAUUCAUCUGAGAGAGUCAACACAGAAGGUUCCAGAGGGAAAACGGAAAUCAACAUGAGUUUUGUAAUGGUUGGGAGGAGAAGGGACUAUCAUUUAUUCCUUCAUAUGUCCAAGAGAGCGAGGCCCCAGGGAUGCAACAGUGCUCAGAAGAGUAGUUUCUAUCCUCCUGUGAAGUCUCCUGGGAAAGACAGACCAUUAACAAGCAUGUAAUAGUGGUGAAGACCAUCUUCCCUGGUUGGUGAAACUCCCAGGGAAGCACCUAUGCCAGCUGGAAUUUUCAAGAGAACUUGUCUUAAGGCAGGGUGGUCUUGGCUCAUGUACCUGCUAGGGACUACUACGUACAUGUGACAGAACCCUGAACCAGCAAACCGAAGUUAAUAUGAAAGGAAGAAAGAAACACGGUUCCUGGCCAGCAGUUUCAUACACACGUGGGGCUGUUUCCAAGAGGCAGUGGGGUAAAGAUGAAGGUAAACCCGACAAGAACAUCCGGGAGCCUGGAGGAAUGCCGUCAAUGGGUCUUUGUACAAAGAACGAAGUAUCUUAAUCACCUUUGUUGCCUGUGACCAGAAAGGUCAGCGGAGAACGAGACUCCAGGGGUGAAGGCCGUAAUAAGCUGUUCUAUUCACCAUCAUUCAAUAAAUAUGUUUCUGGCUUUGGAAAGAUUAAACGCAGCUAUAAAUGA